RNAcentral lists this ribosomal RNA (450 nucleotides) under uncultured bacterium. Its description in RNAcentral is "bacterial SSU rRNA". It matches the Rfam family "Bacterial small subunit ribosomal RNA", at positions 354 to 796 of the family's 1533-position model. The record is from RNAcentral.
GUGGGGAAUAUUGGACAAUGGGCGAAAGCCUGAUCCAGCCAUGCCGCGUGUGUGAAGAAGGUCUUCGGAUUGUAAAGCACUUUAAGUUGGGAGGAAGGGCAGUAAGUUAAUAACUUGCUGUUUUGACGUUACCGACAGAAUAAGCACCGGCUAACUUCGUGCCAGCAGCCGCGGUAAUACGAAGGGUGCAAGCUUUAAUCGUAAUUAAUGGGCGUCAAGCGCGCGUAGGUGGUUUUGUACGUUGGAGGUGAAAUCCCCGGGCUCAACCUGGGAACUGCGUCCAAAACUGAAUGACUAGAGUACGGUAGAGGGUAGUGGAAUUGCCUGUGUAGCGGUGAAAUGCGUAGAUAUAGGAAGGAACACCAGUGGCGAAGGCGACUACCUGGACUGAUACUGACACUGAGGUGCGAAAGCGUGGGGAGCAAACAGGAUUAGAAACCCCGGUAGUCC